CUUCCUGGCUGAGGAGUGGUUCCAGCGGAGCAGGCUCUUCCACCUCCUUCAGCUCCCCCAGUGACACCGGAUCUAGGAAAGGUUGUGCCUUUUGCUGAAAGUCUGGGGUUGACGGGAGCUCAUCUAACAGGCUGGAGAAAACGAGAGCGAAACUACAGAGAAAAGAAACGUCCCGUGCAUCACGGCCUGACCACGGAUUCCUGUUUCCUGCAACAAGGGAAGUCUCCACUGUGGCCUGUUUGGAAACUGGAAAGGAGAGCGAAGACAGGAUGCUGCUUUUCCACGCUUCGCUGGAGGUUUCUGGGUCCCCACAGAGCUCGGGAAACAGUCAACAUGGUCACGCUUUUGGGGGCCGGAGACACGUGAACAACAGGCCCCCUUGCAGAGGGCAAAGGAACGUGGAACCCAGAAUCAUGGUUCACUCGGUCUGAGUGUGACUCUUGAAUGGACGGGACUAUCCACCUCGCGCUCUGUUGCAGGCUCAACGUGGGGCUAUGUCAUCUGUGAACCAUGUGGAUGAAAAACGGACAAUCACCCGAGUCUCAGCUCACUGCUCUCUGGGCAAUUCGCUCAUUCCUUGGGAGGCGGAAUUCGUCUGAAUCGCUCCGGGAUGAAGUGACCCAGGCUGGCGAUCCGGAGGGCCCGUGCGCGCCCCGCAGGCAGACGUGGCUGUGGGCCGAGCACUCAGCCUGCACUGGGCACCCAACAUUUUCCCGGAGUGCGAGGUCCUGCUGGUCCUGGAGGCAGAAGACCGCUUUUCUCUCUGCCUUCUUCUCUCUGUCUCUUGCUCCCUUUCUCUCUCUGUCCUUCCCUUCCUCCCUCCCCCCCCACCUCCCUUCCUCCCCCUCCCUACUUUCUCCUUUCCAAUAUCCCUCUGUCCAUCUGUCCUUUUCUCGCUCCAUUCCUCCCUUUCUCUCUGUUUCUGUUCCUCUCCCCAUCUCUAUUUUUCAACAUUAUAUGAUCCCAUUGUGUGUAUCUGUGUUAACAUUUUUAGCAAUAAAGUUCAUUUUCAUUAAGAUA
Molecule: long non-coding RNA, 1020 nt
Organism: Homo sapiens (human)
Lineage: Eukaryota; Metazoa; Chordata; Mammalia; Primates; Hominidae
Source: Ensembl